AGAAGUAUAGCUUAAUUAAAGCCUUUCGCUUACACCGAAAAAAAGUCCGUUAAACCCAGACUACUUCUAG
This 70-nucleotide transfer RNA is filed under the name Ischnocnema guentheri (Steindachner's robber frog). RNAcentral describes it as "tRNA-Val". It matches the Rfam family "tRNA". From Rfam's summary of the family: Transfer RNA (tRNA) molecules are approximately 80 nucleotides in length. The record is from RNAcentral. Lineage: Eukaryota; Metazoa; Chordata; Amphibia; Anura; Brachycephalidae.